GGCUCGGUUGAGCGGUCGGCCGCAAGGUCUGUACUGCUCUGGCUGGGUCUUUCUUUCUGGAAAGCCAGCAUGUCCUUUACUGGGUGUGCUGGUGAUCCAGGACUUUUACUUUGAAAAAAUUAGAGUGUUUAAAGCAGGCUCACGCUUGAAUACAUUAGCAUGGAAUAACGAAAUAGGACG
Molecule: ribosomal RNA, 180 nt
Filed under: uncultured Glomeromycotina
Lineage: Eukaryota; Fungi; Glomeromycota
Description: partial small subunit ribosomal RNA
Source: RNAcentral